GAAAAAUAUAAUAACUUUAGUUAAUUAUUUGUAAUAGCUCAAGGCUGAGUUGUUGACUCAACCUGUGACAAAGGACAAUCCAAAAAUACGAUGGAUCUAUGGGGGCUGGUAGGGGCCAUCGCCCCUUCUAAAAUUUUAGCAUCCAACAAAUUUGGCCAAAUACAUCAUCAAGACACUUGAAUUAAUUUUACCUAUCGAAUAUCUGAACUAAUUUUGUUAUCUAUUAGAUACCCAAACUUUAAAAUUUCAUUACAAAUAAACACAACAUUGCACAGAGAAAAAUAUGCUAGUUACACAGUCUGUGAAGUGGUAGUUGAUUGCCAAAUAGCCAAAAUAAUCUGAGCUGACAUUCAAGUUUUGGGAACGCUAUUGAAAGAGCUUCUUCAUGAAGGAGACCCUUUGAAUACCCAAGUAAAAUUGAAAUUUGAAACUUUAUCUCCAAAAAUCACAUCAAUUGUUGGAUAGGAACUCUCAAGCAAAUUGUUCUAGAAUUGAUUGAUGAAGGUUGACCACCAGUAUGGAUGUUUGUGCAACUAUCCAAGCAAUCAUUCAUCUAGACUGUCUUUGCAAUGCAUGCAUAGUACUUAUAAUGUGGGACCUGUUAUGUAUUUAUUGCACAAAUGGUAAAGAUUAGUGAUUGCAUUGAUAGUCACAUAGCAGAAACCGAAUAUAUGUUUUGAUCUCUACAAGAAUCAAAAGCUCCAAAAUGAAACAAGUAUUAAACACGAAAAAGCAUUCAAGAGAGACCUCCAAUGCAUUCGCGUUGGUCACAAAUUCGUGCGACCCCAUAUUUGAGAAUCAAGUUUCUGUUAAAACUUUCCAAUCAUAACCUAAACUGUCUUGGACUUCUCAAUUAACUUAUGAAAGAAAGAGAUUUAAAAACACUUAAAGACGAUACAAAUCAGCUAGAAAUGAGGACUAAAUCCUUGGAGCAAAAGUCAAUGAAUGCAAACAAAAGCUUCAACCAAUGACAUUGAAAUAAUCAACAUUAGCUUUGAUAAAAAAGAUCUCUUGACCAUGAAUCUUUAUCAAUAUUUAUCCGAGCUGACUGUUGGAGCCUUGAUCAUAGAGAACAUAACUCUUAAAGACUGUUGGAGCUUUGAUCUAAACCUCCUGGAGACUAAGACUAUGCUAAACCAACUAAAAAAAUAGAGCCCAUGAACAUUUUAGACAAACUAGAAUAAGAACAGCAUAGUAGUGUAACACCUCUCAUGCUUCAUAAACUAAUGCAUGCAAUAUAGUAUAUAGCAUGUCCAAUCUUGACUCAUUGAUAGUGAGCUUCAUGGUCUUCAAAGGUCGUAUAUUUUCUCAAAUUAUAGAGGCACCAAGUUAGGGCUUUAAAAAAAUCAUUGCAUAAAAAGCUUCAACACGUUAGUUAUUAACAAAUAAUCAAAGCUCAAUUCUUUAACAAAAUUCGAUUAGAAAGUUAUAAUGUCAUAUGCACAAAAAAAAUCCUAUCUCAGUAGCUAUUGCUAUAAUUUAGGCAAAUUCCAGAAAAUUAUCCACCAUAAACUUAUCAGUUCAUCAAAAUCAGGAAAUAACUAAUCCUAAUUCAGACUACAGCAACAUCAGUUCCAUAGAUUUCCCAUAUUAAUCUGAUAAGAACAAAACAAUCAUCGAAAUAACAGUGAAAAUUCAUCCCAGUUCUAGAGAUCCAUUAUCGAAUAAUGAAUAUAAUCAACAAUGAUAAUUCUGAUUUAUCCUACUCCUCACUAGAGAAUCAGAUAAUUAUGACCUAACAACACUAAAAAUUAAAAUAAUAACAAGCAUCAAUAAGUGAACAACACCAAACCCGAUCAAUUCGUUUUCGGAUCAGGCAUGGGGAACAAUCCGCCCCCGGCGGCUCCACGCGGUGGCGAAAACCCGAGAAACUUUUGGAGAUUUGUGCGGAUACUGAUCGAACACAGGAAAUACAAAAAUGCCAUUGAGCAAUCCGUCGCAUCAUCGCCUUGCAAUCCUCUGUGACUCAUCUUCAUCACGAUCCCUAUCGGCUUAAACGGCAAUUUGGCAACAACUUUCCCUUCGAAGAGCGAAUUCAACAGUCCAAAAACGAUGAAGAGAACCAAGGCAACAACGGCGCCGGAUUUGAACUUGAAGAGGGAGAGAUCACGACUGGACUCUUUCAAGGAGGUCUCGACGCGGUCAAUUUUCUUGGUCUUUGAUUUUUUGGUGGUGACUUUGACGGUUUCGGUUUUCAUAGUCUCAAGCUUCUUAGAAGCUUUGUCGAUGGAGGAUUUCAGGGAUUUGUAGGAGUUGGUGCGAUAAAUUAAGAUCCAGGAGAUGGCCUCGCAGACUACGGCGGUGCAGAUGGAGAUGGCCACCACCGUAAGGCUGUCGGAGUACUUGAAGAAGGAGAGGAAUUGGGGUGUGGCCAUCGGGAGACGACGUUUAAGAGAGCUUUUUUGGCGAAGUUCUCACUGGGAAGGACUGAGGUCCGAGGGGGAUGUUUGGCUGCGGGUGAAGUAGUGGGCGAUUUUGGAGAAUGGAAUUUGGAGAGGUAAAUAAGUGAGAAAUUUU
This 2517-nucleotide unclassified non-coding RNA is filed under the name Hevea brasiliensis (rubber tree). The record is from RNAcentral. Lineage: Eukaryota; Viridiplantae; Streptophyta; Magnoliopsida; Malpighiales; Euphorbiaceae.